GGGGGAGCUGGGCUCCCUCCUGAGCCCGCUGGCCUGCAGGUACCUCGCAGGGCUGGCCACUGCACAGCAUCCGGAAAAAGCACAGCUGGGGGCCAGCCCUUCCUCUCGGAGUGCGGCCUUUGUGUCCUGCCCUUUAGGGGAUAAUCGCCUCCUUGCUGGGCCGGGUAUUGACCAGCAGAAGAGGCUGCAUUGAGCAGGUUCUUGCCAGGGAGCUGGAGUGGAAGUGAGGAAGAGCCAGGCUGGAUUUGGAGAGGGUGCGGAUACCAGAGAGUCCCCCUAGGAAGCCAGGACUCUGGGCAAGCAGCACUGGAGCCUGCAUCUCCUCUGCCUUUCAGAUAACCUCUAGUGACUGGGGCCUCCAGUCCGCUGGUCCCUUGCCUGGCACAGGGAGAGGAGCCAGUCCCGCAAGGCAGGAGCCUCCUUAAACAACAGAGCUUUGAAGCCCCCCAGCCCAGCCCAGCCUUUUCCUGCGAGGCACGUGGAGCUGAGGCUGGGGCAGCGCGGCAGGGCUGAUCCGUGUCUACACUUCUGCACUCCCACCAACGGAGCCCGGUCUACUCCCCAGCGGGACGCUUCCUGGCUCUGGCUCUGUUGCCCAGCUACUACCCUGGGGGAGCUGCAGGCUCCACGAACCU
Molecule: long non-coding RNA, 635 nt
Filed under: Gopherus agassizii (Agassiz's desert tortoise)
Lineage: Eukaryota; Metazoa; Chordata; Testudines; Testudinidae
Description: lncRNA (ENSGAGG00000017467.1)
Source: RNAcentral